AUGCGCCUGGUCAGAUCUGACGCAGCAACGCCGCGUGGGUGAUGAAGUCUUCGGACUGUAAAACCCUGUCGUCAGGGACGAAAGCAUGGGAGUUAAUAGCUCUUAUGCUUGACGGUACCUGGAGAGGAAGCCCCGGCUAACUCUGUGCCAGCAGCCGCGGUAAUACAAAGGGGGCAAGCGUUAUUCGGAAUUAUUGGGCGUAAAGGGCGCGUAGGCGGUUUUUUAAGUCAGAUGUGUAAUCCCCGAGCUCAACUUGGGAACUGCAUCUGAGACUGGAAGGCUAGAGUACUGGAGAGGGUGGUGGAAUUCCUCGUGUAGCGGUGAAAUGCGUANAGAUNAGGAGGAACACCAGUGGCGAAGGCGGCCACCUGGACAGUAACUGACGCUGAGGCGCGAAAGUGUGGGUAGCAAACAGGAUUAGAUACCCUGGUAGUCCACGCUGUAAACGAUGAACACUUGGUGUGGAGGGAGUUGACCCCUUCCGUGCCGGAGCUAACGCGUUAAGUGUUCCCCCUGGGGAGUACGGUCCCAAGGCUGAAAGUCAAAUGA
RNAcentral lists this ribosomal RNA (549 nucleotides) under uncultured bacterium Gthrx-84. RNAcentral's name for it is "bacterial SSU rRNA". It matches the Rfam family "Bacterial small subunit ribosomal RNA", at positions 364 to 908 of the family's 1533-position model. Lineage: Bacteria; Pseudomonadati; Acidobacteriota; Holophagae; Holophagales; Holophagaceae. The record is from RNAcentral.